ACCGGAGUUUCCUCCCCAGCAGAGGGACUGGGAAUGGGCUCGGGCGCUGUGCUGAGCAGCUGCUGCCCCCCUGGCUCUGAGGAGAUCCUGCUUGUCGCGGGGAGGAAGCUUUUGGGGGGCUCUUUAUUAUUUUAAAACUACAAAGUGCUCAGAGGGUAGGUGAUUAUUAAGGGGAAUCCCUGAAUAUAUUCUCCAGCAAAGAAGGCAGGGCUGCUGGGGCUGCUCGAGACGAGAGCCAGCAGCCUCCUACAGCACCACUACAGGCACUGCGAGGACAUAACAUCAGAGAGCAGCUCCUCUGCCCUCCAAAACAACAACUUUCCUACCAUCUUGGAGAACAGCUGAGAUUGAUGUGGGAUACUUUGGCAGAACUGUAUCAUUACCUUCUCUUUCUCUCUCAAGGCAAUGUAAAUAAAACAGACUGAACGUACAGGCAUACACUUAUUCUUUCUCAUGCCGCCUGUGCCGGCAGGAUUGUAAAGGAGGAAGCCAGGCUAAGGUUUCUGCAUUACAACUGGCCACCCAACCAGUGAGGAAUUCUGCCAGUUGGCCACCAGGUGGUACCAGGGCUGCAUUUGGCAAAUUCAGUUCUGCUUUUAGUGCUACAGUGAAGUACUCGUGCAGCCCCAACCCUCCCGCACAAUUUGGGGAAAUGCAGCCACCACUUUGCAUGCAGAGGUUAACUGCAGCCACAGAACUGAUUGUUCAUGCAGUGCAUCAUCUACCUCAGUAAGCCCUUACUUUACUGUCAAAGAGCAGUAUAUUGAUAGGAUUCAUUUCCCAUCAUCUCAGCUGUUCAUUGCCUUAUUUUCAUAAGGCCCUGCUUUCAUCAGAGGUUGUACCUUCCUUCAGAACCAGCAAGUAGUUGCACUCUUUUUGUAAUAAACAAAAUUAAGUUGCAUGAGUAGCCCAGUUCUUGUAGAUUUC
Long non-coding RNA from Rhea pennata, 927 nucleotides. RefSeq lists it as uncharacterized. The transcript has 3 exons. NCBI's taxonomy places the organism in Eukaryota, Metazoa, Chordata, Aves, Rheiformes, Rheidae. The record is from RefSeq and is a predicted model, not a curated record.